AUACUUACCUGGCAGGGGAGAUACCAUGAUCACGAAGGUGGUUUUCCCAGGGCGAGGCUCAUCCAUUGCACUCCGGAUGUGCUGACCCCUGCGAUUUCCCCAAAUGUGGGAAACUCGACUGCAUAAUUUGUGGUAGUGGGGGACUGCGUUCGCGCUUUCCCCUG
This is a small nuclear RNA of Ailuropoda melanoleuca (giant panda), 164 nucleotides long. Its record names the gene U1. It matches the Rfam family "U1 spliceosomal RNA". From Rfam's summary of the family: U1 is a small nuclear RNA (snRNA) component of the spliceosome (involved in pre-mRNA splicing). Its 5' end forms complementary base pairs with the 5' splice junction, thus defining the 5' donor site of an intron. Lineage: Eukaryota; Metazoa; Chordata; Mammalia; Carnivora; Ursidae. The record is from Ensembl.